CACACACACACACACACACACACAUCUCUCCAUUCUGGUUGUUUUCUAACGUUCGAUCCAACUUGGUAUUUUAUUAGCAGCUGAUACUCCUGGGGUCCACAUGAAGCAGGACAGAACAUUCCUUUGACAAGAACGGCUCAAAGACAAAACUACUAACAUUUUAAAAUAAGGACAAUAUAACUAGGAGGUUCUGUACUGACUAAAUACUGAGAAAAAACCCAUAGAGACCUAAUAUUCUAGGACUGUGUUUAUCGUGUACUAAUUAAUAUUCUAGUACUAUGUUUAUCGUGUACUAAUUAAUAUUCUAGGACUACGUUUAUCGUGUACUAAUUAAUAUUCUAGUACUAUGUUUAUCGUGUACUAAUUAAUAUUCUAGGACUACGUUUAUCGUGUACUAAUUAAUAUUCUAGUACUAUGUUUAUUGUGUACUAAUUAAUAUUCUAGUACUAUGUUUAUUGUGUACUAAUUAAUAUUCUAGGACUACGUUUAUUGUGUACUAAUUAAUAUUCUAGUACUAUGUUUAUUGUGUACUAAUUAAUAUUCUAGGACUACGUUUAUUGUGUACUAAUUCAUAUUCUAGUACUAUGUUUAUUGUGUACUAAUUAAUAGUCUGAGAAGUAGCUGGUGAAACAAGCGAGGCAGUCAUUUGAGAAACCAAGGCUGUUAAGUCUGCCGAUAAGAAUGACAGACAUACCGCUCAGGAAGGAGAUGCGUCCAGAUUGUCUAGCCCGGCUGAUUUGUAGGGGUCCAGGUUGUCUAGUCCAGCUGAUUUGUAGGGGUCCAGGUUGUCUAGUCCAGCUGAUUUGUAGGGGUCCAGGUUGUCUAGUCCAGCUGAUUUGUAGGGGUCCAGGUUGUCUAGUCCAGCUGAUUUGUAGGGGUCCAGGUUGUCUAGUCCAGCUGAUUUGUAGGGGUCCAGAUUUCGCGGCUCUUUCAGAACAUCAGCUGUCUGGAUUUGGGAGAAGGAGAAAUGGGGGAGGCUUGGCAAGUUGCUGUGGGGGGCGCAGGGCUGUUGACCGGGGUAGGGGUAGGGGUAGCCAGGUGGAAAGCAUGGCUAGCCGUAGAAAAAUUCUUAUUGAAAUUCUCAAUUAUAGUGCAUUUAUCGGUGGUGACAGUGUUUCCUAUCCUCAGAGCAGUGGGCAGCUGGGAGGAGGUGCUCUUAUUCUCCAUGGACUUUACAGUGUCGGCCAGGAAUGGCAAAUAGUUUCUACCCCCAGACAAUCAGGCUGCUGAAUAGACACCACUAGUCAGCUGUUUGUACCAUCAGACCAUCAGGCUGCUGAAUAGACACCACUAGUCAGCUGUUUCUACCAUCAGACCAUCAGGCUGCUGAAUAGACACCACUAGUCAGCUGUUUCUACCAUCAGGCUGCUGAAUAGACACCACUAGUCAGCUGUUUCUACC
This 1401-nucleotide long non-coding RNA is filed under the name Salmo salar (Atlantic salmon). RNAcentral describes it as "lncRNA (ENSSSAG00000105453.1)". Lineage: Eukaryota; Metazoa; Chordata; Actinopteri; Salmoniformes; Salmonidae. The record is from RNAcentral.